This 251-nucleotide ribosomal RNA is filed under the name uncultured bacterium. Its description in RNAcentral is "partial 16S ribosomal RNA". It matches the Rfam family "Bacterial small subunit ribosomal RNA", at positions 525 to 775 of the family's 1533-position model. The record is from RNAcentral.
ACGGAAGGUCGGGGGGUUAUGCGGAUUUAUUGGGUUUAAAGGGAGCGUAGGCCGGAGAUUAAGCGUGUUGUGAAAUGUAGGCGCUCAACGUCUGCACUGCAGCGCGAACUGGUUUCCUUGAGUACGCACAAAGUGGGCGGAAUUCGUGGUGUAGCGGUGAAAUGCUUAGAUAUCACGAAGAACUCCGAUUGCGAAGGCAGCUCACUGGAGCGCAACUGACGCUGAAGCUCGAAAGUGCGGGUAUCGAACAG